GUGAUGUUGAACUUGAGCAGCUGGACGGCCAGACUCUCACAGAACCCCUCUAUGGCAAAUUUUGAAGCAGAGUAAACGUCAUUAAACGCCACACCUGUGAAGAGCAACACGAGUCACAUCUCAGAUCAUUGGUUUCCAUCAACAUGAAGAGCUCUUCUACAGUGUCUAUCUGAUCAAUAUUAUCAAUAAUCCUCAAGUAGAGGCCCAUCGCACUGCUGAUGACGAUGAUGUGUCCGGAGCGUCUCCUCUUCAUGUCAGGCAUCACCUCUUUAAUCAUGCGAACCGCACCAAAGAAAUUAGUCUGGAACACCUUCAUCAUGUCAUCCAUACUGAGAGCCUCA
Cyprinus carpio (common carp) is the source of this 341-nucleotide long non-coding RNA. RefSeq lists it as uncharacterized. The transcript has 3 exons. Lineage: Eukaryota; Metazoa; Chordata; Actinopteri; Cypriniformes; Cyprinidae. The record is from RefSeq and is a predicted model, not a curated record.